This 565-nucleotide long non-coding RNA is filed under the name Androctonus crassicauda. Lineage: Eukaryota; Metazoa; Arthropoda; Arachnida; Scorpiones; Buthidae. The record is from RNAcentral.
UUGAUAACAUCAUCAAAAUCGAUUGAAUUUGCUACUUCACUUUUUAUUGACAGAAUCAUCAUGCAUCUGUUAAUGGUAUCAUCAUUCUGUAAAAAGUUAAUCAAAAUCGGUGUUUUUUAAUUGGGUAAUUUUCGUAGACUGCAGGACCUCUCAAAAUGCGGGGCCAGGUUCCAGCAAACGCGCUGAACCUCCCUUGCGCCAGCCCUAGUUUUUAUUAUAUACUUGUGUUAUAGAAUAAUUAAUUCAUCUUUUCUAAUUACAAUAUUUAAAUAAUGUACUUGUUUAUGUUUUUGGACUUCUCUUAACAUUAUUCCCUAGUCUUCAUCUCUGAAGAAAUCCUCUAAAUCUUUUGUCCUAUCUUCUCUCCCUAUAUGGCAAAAAUAUCAUCUACAUACCUUUUAAAGCAUGAUUUAUAGAAUAAUAAAUCUGUUAAGUUGAUUCAAAAUUUGUAAUUCUUUGUUUCUGAUUACUAACUCAGCUAAUAUGCCAGCCAUUGAACUUCUUAUGGGCACUCCUUUCAUUUAUAAAUAAAAUUUAUCUUCAAACAUAAAGUAAGAAUUGUAGC